Molecule: long non-coding RNA, 3975 nt
Organism: Podarcis muralis (Common wall lizard)
Lineage: Eukaryota; Metazoa; Chordata; Lepidosauria; Squamata; Lacertidae
Source: Ensembl
GUAAGUACAGUAGUAGUAAGUAGUAAGUAAGUAAAUAGUAAGUAGUAAGUGAAUAAAUAGGGGGCAAGUCAGCCCCGCGAAACGUGCAGCAAAGCGGCGCCUUUCCGGCCCUUGCGCGCCCCUCUCGAGAUCCCUGCCGCGGCCCCAUCGGAGAGGCUGCGGCGGCUGUGGGCUGUCCGAGCCCCCCUUGGCUUCCCCCCGUUGCAUUUCCCUCGGUUGAAAGGAAGGCGCGGGAGCUUGGUUUGCAACGGAAAGGGAGUCUCUUCCUCCGCCUCGUCUCGGGGGCUUCUCCCCUGUCCUCCCUCCUCACUGAGGGACAGUCGCUUGGCUCGGUUAUUUCUUUGGCAGGGACACAGCUUUCAGAUUGUGGCGCCUUCAGAAGGAGCGUCUGGAGAAAGAGGAGAUUCGCGCCCAGGAAGCUCUCGCCCUCCUGGAGAAAAAGAGGCUGGUGAGCGCGUUUGAGGCCUGGCGUUCCCGCUACAGGGCAGCCCGGCGGAUCCUGCCAUUGGUGGCUCAGGUGCAGAGAGGGCUGCUAAGCCGCUGUUUCCAGGCCUGGAAGUCUGUCACCGACCGGGCGGCGCUAUGCAGGCAUGGCAGGGAACGCCUGCGACUCGAAUCCCUGAGGGUGCAUUUCCAUCAAUGGGCCCUGAUGUUGCAAGUCCGGGAAAAGGCCAAGAAGACUCUGCUGGAGCUGUGGGCCUUGAAGUGGAGGCGAGCCCACGCCAUUUCCCCAGUGACUCGCAAGAUCUCGCUGCCACAGAUCUUCACAUGCAAGCGCCGUUCCCUCUGGGUUAUGGCCACACCCAGAAUCGGAGGCAGCUGCUGGCGAAAUGCUUUGCGUUUUGGUCGGCCAGGACUGUGCAAAACCUGAAGGCAGAACAACACCGCAAGCGGGCUCUCCUCUCCGGAUCUCAGGCCCAACUGAAGAGGCCUCGGUCCAGUAUACCUGAAGGAGCAUCUCCACCUCCAUUGUUCUGCCUGGACACUGAGGUCCAGCGCCAAGGGCCUUCUGGCGGUUCCCUUGCAAUGAGAAGCCAAGUUACAGGGAACCAGGCAGAGGGCCUUCUCGGUAGUGGCGCCUGCCCUGUGGAACGCCCUCCCGCCAGAUGUCAAAGAGAAAAAAAACUACCAAACUUUUAGAAGACAUCUGAAGGCAGCCCUGUUUAGGGAAGCUUUUAAUGUUUAAUAGGUUAUUGUAUUUUAGUGUUCUGUUGGAAGCCGCCCGGAGUGGCUGGGGAAACCCAGCCAGAUGGGCGGGGUAUAAAUAAAUUAUUAUUAUUAUUAUUAUUAUUAUUCCUCCCUGCAUCCAGAAAACUCCUCCAGGGAACGAUAUGCUCAGCUGAUCAGAUUCUCUGGCUAAACAGGAGGCACUGAAACUGGGCCACAAGGAGGAGCCAUGAACCCAAUGCCAAUUGUCCUAGCAGAGGCUGAACAGUUCUCAAAAUAUUCUCCAGAGAUCACAAGCAGAGGGUUUGCUCCCCACAUACGCUCUCAGUCCAAGCAUCCCAAGUUUCCACGGAAACGUUUUCACUGCCAGCCUACCAGAGGAAGGACCAGUGUCGGAUUAAACCCAGUGGAGGCUCCUAGGCAGUCAGAAUCUCGCAGGCCCCCUCACAAAUUAUUUCCCAAUUUUCUUUCAAGAUCAAAUCAAUAUUAUUUUGUUGUUGUUUUUUUUCCAUAAUUUUUUAUUAAUUUUCCAACAUAAAUUAAAAACAAUACAAAACACAAUACAUAGACAAACAAACAAACAAACAAACAUAUAAACACGUAUAAUUUCAAAACCUCUUUUUCAUAAAUCUUACUUCCCCGACUUCCCCAUGCCUCCCCUUUCUGCAUCCCUAUUUUAAAAUUUCUUCAGCAACCCCUCACUUCAAUUAACUGAUUACUCAUUUUCUUUAUUUUUUUUCCCCUUCUUCUCUUAAUCAUUUACAGCUGUACUUCUAUAUUGUUUCUUUACCCAUGGCAUUUUAGCACUCAUUAAUUUUACAACAGUUCUUAAGAUAUACUUUAAAUUUCUUCCAAUCUUCUUCCGCCGUCUCUUUUCCUUGAUCACGGAUUCUGCCAUUCAUCUCCGCCAGUCCCAUAUAAUCAAUCACCUUCGUCUGCCAUUCUUCCAGCGUGGGUAGUUCUUGUGUCUUCCAAUACUUUGCUAAAAGAACCCUUGCUGCUGUGGUAGCAUACAUAAAAAACAUCCUGUCCUUCCUUGACACCAAUUGGCCAACCAUGCCAAUCAAUAUUAUUUUGAUCCGUUGUUGAGGGGCCCCUAGGCUCGUAGGCCAGUGCCCAGUCUGUCUGUUUGGUAAUCUGGCACUGAGGAAGGACGCACCUUGACAUUGACAAUGUGGUAAUUCACUCGCUGGCCGUAGUUCUUCGGAGGGCUCUGACGUUCUCGCUGGAGGUGAAGAACUCCAGGUAAGCCUGGAAGGAGUCGAGAGAGGAGAUGUAGACACCAAAGAAUCCCAGCAAUGGCACAAUUUAAAUGUUUAAAUUAACUUGGGGGGGGGAGCAGAGGUUUUUCUAUUAGGAAUUGUAGGUGCCGAUAUUCCAAGGGAGCAGAAAAUACUUUUUAUGUAUGCGACGACAGCCACCCGGUUGUUACUGGCCCAGAGAUGGAAAGAAGACAAAGUCCCUAAUAGGGAGCCCAGAACAAUGGUGCGCAAGGCCUUAUAUAGACAUUUUAAAUUCCCUGCCCUGUCACUCAAGACUACCCGUCCAUACAUCAUACCUACAUCACAGAAAAGGCGGUCUACAAUUUAAAUGUUGGACUACAGAAAUUUAAAAUUCAGUACCAAAUUAUCUAAGGUUGUUCACCAAAGCCAGACUAAACGUCUUUCCUUCUGCAGUGUUGGAUGGCAGGUUGAGAGGAGUUCCCUACCAGGACAGACUUUGCUCAUGUGCUCAAGACAUCGAUUCUAUAAAACAUAUUUUGCUGCGAAACAUGAGCAAGCCAAGGCUGAACUGAUAUUACCCUUGCUGGUACCUUUCCUGGGAAAAUCAGAGGCUCAUUAUGUCAGGUUCCUAUUGGAAGACCGGACAAACGCUAGAACAUUAGCAGUGGCAAAGUUUUUAUCGGUGGUUGCAAGAACCAAUGAUCCCUGUCUUUAAGUCUGAACAAAAUGCUUGUUUAACCUGGAGGUAGGCUGUCUGAAUUGUGCAUUGCUUUGUAACAAUUUGUUGGGUCUCUGGACCGUAAUAAAGGGGGGAAAUCAAUGCUAAAAGCAGUUCAAAACAAUUUACAGUCACAGCGAUCUGCUGUGACCUGAAAAACGUGUCUCUUGGAUCAUAGAAUCAUAGAGUUGUAAGGGACCCGAGGGUCAUCUAGUCCAACCCCCUGCAAUGCAGGAAUCUCAGCUCAAGCAUCCAUGGCAGAUGCCCAUCCAACUCCUUUCCUGCAACUUGAAGCAACUGGUUUGAAUCCUACCUUCCAGAGCAGGAGGAAACAAGCUUGCUCCAUCCUCCAUGUGACAGCCAUCUUUGAAGAUGGCUACCAUAUCUCCUCUCAGUCUCCUCUUUUGCAGGCUAAACAUCCCCAGCUCCUUCAACCGUUCCUCACAAGGCUUAGCUUCUAGAUCAUCCUAGUUGCCCUCCUCUGCACACGCGAAGCCAAAGUGGUUGUGUCUUCAGCCUGUGAUGGGAGCAAUACAAUGAAGGUGCAUGAUCCAGGGGGCACGACUCUAAAUCCGGCCCUACUUCCCUGCCAGUUGGGCCUCACUUGCACCUUCCUGCUUGGCCUCUGUUCGACAUCUGCGGACGGCACUUCCUCAGAGACAUCUGCGGCGGCCUCCUCAAAUCCCACCUGCAGCAUCAGGAAGGAACCCUGUCAGGACAGAGCAACAGGGCAAGGAGGGAGAGGCCUGGGCGGAAAACCCAGAGCCUCCCUCAAACCCCACCCUGAAGCCAUCACCCAGCCAUACCCUCCAACGUUCCUUAGAUGAAAAGAGGGGCAUUUGUCACUCCCCACUCAACUGACCCUCC